Molecule: long non-coding RNA, 947 nt
Filed under: Homo sapiens (human)
Lineage: Eukaryota; Metazoa; Chordata; Mammalia; Primates; Hominidae
Description: MIR4307 host gene
Source: RNAcentral
AUAUGCCCCUGACUGGAGAGAAGCCCAGGUUGGCUGCCUACAAUCAGAGUCCACAUAUGUUCGGGGGAGGGACCCCAGAAGGCGGCUGACAGUAUUCCUUUAGCCAGAAAUCCCUUCAGGGAAGAGAAAGGUGCUCCCCUUUGCCUGCUUUUAUACUACAGACUGUUUCCAACUCCAGCUAGAAGUGACUAUUGCCGAUUAUGCUAAUCAGUGGCGACAAGCUCCCUUUGACUGCUCACUUCUCCAGUGAGGCUUCAAGCUUCUAGGCAUCAAGAUUAGUAAGGCUGUCUUCUGGGUGGGCCAGUUUGUUUCUCAGUGACACGAAAACAUUGCCUGGGGUGUGCACUGGUAUUUUCCAGAAAAUAUUUCAAGCAGAAUAUACUUAUUUUCCAGUUUUGAAAACAACUAGAUUGCCCAUCUCCAUUUCUCUCUAUCAUCUACUGUAUUAUUCUAUGGACAACUGCCACCCUAAUAAGCUCAAAGGAAACCAUGAGAGACUGUCUAACUAGACUUUUUGCUUGAUUUCCUGGACCCAAGAGCAGGAGUGAGGAGCUUUCUCCUGGUCAAGAAGGGAAGCCAGAAGUCAAGGCCACAGAAGACACAGGAAACAUCAUUUCCAAAGUGGGAGACAAAGCUGUUAACAGGAAAUUAUUUGUAAAGUCAAGAGCCAAGCAAAACAGAAAAAGGACAAGAAAUCUAUCACCUGUGGGUAUGAAUGGUUCUAGGGAAGUCUGUUGACAAUUGGAGGGUCUCAAAGGCGCUUUAUGGUACUUAUUUUAUGACCCUGAGUCUGGAGUCUGAUGAAUUAAAGAGGAAAUUCUGCUCUGGGCAACAUUUAAGAGAUAGUAUCUCCAGGCAGUAACUUUCGUAUUAACUCUCAUAAGAUUGAUGCCAUUCUGUCAUCUAAAGUGUGGACAAAAGUAGCAUUAAAGCAAAAUGAAAGGAUA